GCUGUUGCCAUUGUCAUUUAGCCUUUCAUCCUCAGUGUGAAGUGUUUGAGCUAGAGCUUAUUCUUACUGGCGAAGUAAAAGAAAUUUUUGUGCACACCUUGCGCAAGCAAAAAUGGCUGAUGAUAAUAGAGUCUAAGUACAGUUGGAAUCAAGUGGAGGUGGCCAGACUUUACUUUUGGUUGAUAAGUGAUAUGGCUAAACAAUUACAGAAUGAUGCAACUUUCCGUGAAAAUUUUUCAAAGGUGCCUCCAAGGAUCAGAAGAAAAUAAAGCUGAAGACAAUUCAUGUAAAUCUGAAGAAAUAAUGAAAGAUGAUAACAAAGGAG
Ruditapes philippinarum (Manila clam) is the source of this 325-nucleotide long non-coding RNA. RefSeq lists it as uncharacterized. Lineage: Eukaryota; Metazoa; Mollusca; Bivalvia; Venerida; Veneridae. The transcript is spliced from 3 exons. The record is from RefSeq and is a predicted model, not a curated record.